RNAcentral lists this small RNA (915 nucleotides) under Drosophila yakuba. Its description in RNAcentral is "GE28500". The record is from RNAcentral. Lineage: Eukaryota; Metazoa; Arthropoda; Insecta; Diptera; Drosophilidae.
AGAACGAAUGGCGUAUUUGUUAGCAACUCAUCCAAGCACGAUUGAAGGCUGCAACUUGGCUACAACUACGAGUAACGUAUUGAAAGGGGUAGCAAUUAGCCAAUGACAGAACAAAAUACGUUGGCGUGGGUAAAUUAGAGUGAAAGAACAUGAACUAAAAGGCAAAAAGUUCAACGAAAAGACAACUAAAAGCCGGGGUUACGUACUAAAAGGCAACAACUGUCGAUGAGGCCUAAAAACUACAGAUAAUAUACUGUUCAGUUCAAUUCCAACUGUAAGCAGCGGCAGCGGCGCGGCAGCAGCGCAUCUUAAACUGUGGCUCAGCGGCUCUCAAACUGUGUUCAAAGGAAUAAUUGCAUUCAAUUUAAUGGAAUUACGGUGUGGAUUGUAAUGACAAUGGAAACGGGGAAAACAGGUUUUUAUGAAAUUCUUUGUGCCCGGCAAACCAAAAUGCUAUGAAAAGAUAUAGAUGGAUAUAUAGCAAAAAAUUAAAUGAAAUGUGGCGGAUGAGAUCUUAGGGGGACACAUGAAAUCGACUUAUAGAUGUGCUAGCUGACUCCCCUAUGCCCUUUAUAUGCCUUCUGGUAAGAAUUGGGUUGACGUAAUUAAAACUCAGAAAUCAUCGUUAAUAGUAAAAGAAUUGCCAACUACGCGGAAAUCUAAAAAAUGAUGGUAAAAUCAUAUACAAAUGUAAACGAAACUUUUAGAAUGGAAUAAUUCAACUUGUUUCCAAUCGAUUGAAAACGAAUUCUGGCACUACAUGCAGGUUAUGUGGCUUGAACGGAAUGUGGGUAAAAACGUGAGCCAAAAGCUUCAAAAUAUAUUGGAGGUAUAUUAUACGAAUAUAGUGUGUUUUGUGGGUAUCUCGGUGGGAAUUAUUGGCUUUUUAUUGUAGUGGAGUGGACUUUGACUUUC